Molecule: ribosomal RNA, 201 nt
Filed under: Alexandrium margalefii
Lineage: Eukaryota; Dinophyceae; Gonyaulacales; Pyrocystaceae
Description: partial Bacterial large subunit ribosomal RNA
Rfam family: Bacterial large subunit ribosomal RNA
Source: RNAcentral
AAGGUAGCGAAAUUCCUUGUCGGGUAAGUUCCGACCUGCACGAAUGGCGUAACGACUUCCCCACUGUCUCCAACAUCGACUCAGCGAAAUUGAAUUCUCCGUGAAGAUGCGGAGUAGGCGCGGUCAGACGGAAAGACCCCGUGCACCUUUACUACAGCUUCGCAGUGGCGUUAGUGGCGAUAUGUGUAGGAUAGGCGGGAG